This 248-nucleotide long non-coding RNA is filed under the name Elaeis guineensis (African oil palm). RNAcentral's name for it is "long non-coding RNA (EGUI_LNC009311)". The record is from RNAcentral. Lineage: Eukaryota; Viridiplantae; Streptophyta; Magnoliopsida; Arecales; Arecaceae.
AUUUGGAUGAGAAAGUUCUUCAUAAUACUUUGAUAGAAAUUCAUCUUCACCGGGAUAAAAAUCAUGGAUUUUAUUGAGAGUCUUAUUGAUAAUACAUCCUAAAAUUUUCAGUAUUCUAAGUUUGUGGAAUAAUUGAGCCAUCUAGAUUUUCAAUUAUGUAUGCUCCUGAAUGAAUUACUUUAGUAAUUCGGUAGGAUCCUUCCUAAUUAGGAGCGAGCUUUUCUUGUUCGGAUGGUUUUGAGAUUUCA